GGGAUAAGGCUCCAUGGUCGAGAGGGAAACAGCCCAGAGCAUCGACUAAGGCCCCUAAGCGUACGCUAAGUGGGAAAGGAUGUGGAGUCGCAGAGACAACCAGGAGGUUGGCUUAGAAGCAGCCACCCUUGAAAGAGUGCGUAAUAGCUCACUGGUCUAGUGAUUCCGCGCCGACAAUGUAGCGGGGCUCAAGCGUACCGCCGAAGUCGUGUCAUUGCAGCAAUACUCCCAACGGAGGCUGUGAUGGGUAGGGGAGCGUCGUGUGCCGGGUGAAGCCGCGCCGGAAGGCAGUGGUGGACGGUUCACGAGUGAGAAUGCAGGCAUGAGUAGCGAUACACACGUGAGAAACGUGUGCGCCGAUUGACUAAGGGUUCCUGGGUCAAGCUGAUCUGCCCAGGGUAAGUCGGGACCUAAGGCGAGGCCGACAGGCGUAGUCGAUGGAUAACCGGUUGAUAUUCCGGUACCCGCUGUGAAGCGUCAAACAUCGAACCAGGCGAUGCUAAGUCCGUGAAGCCGCCCCGGAGCCUUCGGGCAAAGGGGAGUGGUGGAGCCGACGGACCAGACCUGUAGUAGGUGAGUGAUGGGGUGACGCAGGAAGGUAGUCCAUCCCGGGCGGUGGUUGUCCCGGGGUAAGGGUGUAGGACGUGUGRUAGGUAAAUCCGUCACRCAUUWAGKCUGAGACCUGAUGCCGAGCCGAUUGUGGUGAAGUGGAUGAUCCUAUGCUGUCGAGAAAAGCCUCUAGCGAGUUUCAUGGCGGCCCGUACCCUAAACCGACUCAGGUGGUCAGGUAGAGAAUACCGAGGCGUUCGGGUGAACUAUGGUUAAGGAACUCGGCAAAAUGCCCCCGUAACUUCGGGAGAAGGGGGGCCAUCACCGGUGAUGAGUCUUGCACUCUGAGCUGGGGGUGGCCGCAGAGACCAGCGAGAAGCGACUGUUUACUAAAAACACAGGUCCGUGCGAAGCCGUAAGGCGAUGUAUACGGACUGACGCCUGCCCGGUGCUGGAACGUUAAGGGGACCGGUUAGUCACUCUUCGGGUGG
Molecule: ribosomal RNA, 1040 nt
Filed under: Streptomyces mirabilis
Lineage: Bacteria; Bacillati; Actinomycetota; Actinomycetes; Kitasatosporales; Streptomycetaceae
Description: partial 23S ribosomal RNA
Source: RNAcentral